This 611-nucleotide ribosomal RNA is filed under the name uncultured eukaryote. RNAcentral's name for it is "SSU rRNA". It matches the Rfam family "Eukaryotic small subunit ribosomal RNA", at positions 1162 to 1789 of the family's 1831-position model. The record is from RNAcentral.
GGGCACCACCAGGAGUGGAGCCUGCGGCUUAAUUUGACUCAACACGGGGAAGCUUACCCGGUCCGGACACUUUGACGAUUGACAGAUUGAGAGCUCUUUCUUGAUAAAGUGGUUGGUGGUGCAUGGCCGUUCUUAGUUCGUGGAGUGAUUUGUCUGGUUAAUUCCGAUAACGAACGAGACUCUAGCUUACUAAAUAGUCCGUGCGGCUGCGGCCGACACGGUGUUACUUCUUAGAAGGAUUUAUGGCGGUUCAGUCAUAAGAAAGAGAGCAAUAACAGGUCUGUGAUGCCCUUAGAUGUCCGGGGCCGCAAAAGCGCUACACUGGAGCCCACAGUGAGCGUGCUACUUGCGUCGAAAGGCGUGAGGAAUCUCGUAAGCUUCUCCGUAUCUGGGAUUGCGGCAUGUAAUUGUGCCGCGUGAACGCGGAAUCCCGAGUAAGUGCCAAUCAUCAUUUCGCAUUGAUUACGUCCCUGCCCUUUGUACACACCGCCCGUCGCUACUACCGAUUGACUCGUCCAGUGAGGCAUCGGGACGGGCGCGGUGAGCUGUCUUCGGAUGGCGCGCCGUGCCUGAAACUUUGCCAAACUGUCCGAGUUAGAGGAAGUAAAAGU